GCCAGGCGUGGUGGCGGGCGCCUGUAAUCCCAGCUACUCAGGAGGCUGAGGCAGGAGAAUCGCUUGAAUCCAGGAGGUGGAGGUUGCAGUGAGCCGAGAUCGUGCCAUUGCACUCCAGCCUGGGUGACAGAGCGAGACUCCGUCUCAA
Molecule: non-coding RNA, 148 nt
Filed under: Gorilla gorilla gorilla (western lowland gorilla)
Lineage: Eukaryota; Metazoa; Chordata; Mammalia; Primates; Hominidae
Source: Rfam by way of RNAcentral